UGUCGUUGGUGGCUGAAACGAC
Molecule: non-coding RNA, 22 nt
Filed under: Arabidopsis thaliana (thale cress)
Lineage: Eukaryota; Viridiplantae; Streptophyta; Magnoliopsida; Brassicales; Brassicaceae
Source: RNAcentral